CCUACGGGAGGCAGCAGUGAGGAAUAUUGGACAAUGGUCGGAAGACUGAUCCAGCCAUGCCGCGUGCAGGAUGACGGCCUUAUGGGUUGUAAACUGCUUUUGUAAGGGAAGAAUAAGGACUACGUGUAGUUUGAUGACGGUACCUUAUGAAUAAGCAUCGGCUAACUCCGUGCCAGCAGCCGCGGUAAUACGGAGGAUGCGAGCGUUAUCCGGAAUCAUUGGGUUUAAAGGGUCUGUAGGCGGGCUGGUAAGUCAGAGGUGAAAGCGCUUAGCUCAACUAAGCAACUGCCUUUGAAACUGUUGGUCUUGAAUGGUUGUGAAGUAGUUGGAAUGUGUAGUGUAGCGGUGAAAUGAUUAGAUAUUACACAGAACACCGAUAGCGAAGGCAUAUUACUAACAAUUAAUUGACGCUGAUGGACGAAAGCGUGGGGAGCGAACAGGAUUAGAUACCCUAGUAGUC
Molecule: ribosomal RNA, 460 nt
Filed under: uncultured Capnocytophaga sp.
Lineage: Bacteria; Pseudomonadati; Bacteroidota; Flavobacteriia; Flavobacteriales; Flavobacteriaceae
Description: bacterial SSU rRNA
Rfam family: Bacterial small subunit ribosomal RNA
Source: RNAcentral